AUUGAACGCUGGCGGCAGGCCUAACACAUGCAAGUCGAGCGGAUGAAGGGAGCUUGCUCCUGGAUUCAGCGGCGGACGGGUGAGUAAUGCCUAGGAAUCUGCCUGGUAGUGGGGGAUAACGUCCGGAAACGGGCGCUAAUACCGCAUACGUCCUGAGGGAGAAAGUGGGGGAUCUUCGGACCUCACGCUAUCAGAUGAGCCUAGGUCGGAUUAGCUAGUUGGUGGGGUAAAGGCCUACCAAGGCGACGACCCGUAACUGGUCUGAGAGGAUGAUCAGUCACACUGGUACUGAGACACGGUCCAGACUCCUGCGGGAGGCAGCAGUGGGGAAUAUUGGACAAUGGGCGAAAGCCUGAUCCAGCCAUGCCGCGUGUGUGAAGAAGGUCUUCGGAUUGUAAAGCACUUUAAGUUGGGAGGAAGGGCAGUAAGUUAAUACCUUGCUGUUUUGACGUUACCAACAGAAUAAGCACCGGCUAACUUCGUG
This 484-nucleotide ribosomal RNA is filed under the name uncultured bacterium. RNAcentral's name for it is "partial 16S ribosomal RNA". It matches the Rfam family "Bacterial small subunit ribosomal RNA", at positions 30 to 507 of the family's 1533-position model. The record is from RNAcentral.